RNAcentral lists this ribosomal RNA (407 nucleotides) under uncultured bacterium. Its description in RNAcentral is "partial 16S ribosomal RNA". It matches the Rfam family "Bacterial small subunit ribosomal RNA", at positions 30 to 526 of the family's 1533-position model. The record is from RNAcentral.
AUUGAACGCUGGCGGCAGGCCUAACACAUGCAAGUCGAGCGGAGAGGCGGACGGGUGAGUAAUUCCUAGGAAUCUGCCUGGUAGUGGGGGAUAACGUCCGGAAACGGGCGCUAAUACCGCAUACUAUCAGAUGAGCGUAGGUCGGAUUAGCUAGUUGGUGGGGUAAAGGCCUACAAAGGCGACGCUCCGUAACUGGUCUGAGAGGAUGAUCAGUCACACGGGAACGGGUACACGGUCCAGACUCCGACGGGAUGCAGCAGUGGGUAAUAUUGGACAAUGGGCGAAAGCCUGAUCCAGCCAUGCCGCGUGUGUGAAGAAGGUCUUCGGAUUGUAAAGCACUUUAAGUUGGGAGGCGUUACCAACAGAAGAAGCACCGGCUAACUUCGUGCCAGCCGCCGCGGUAAUAC